Molecule: long non-coding RNA, 585 nt
Organism: Bufo bufo (common toad)
Lineage: Eukaryota; Metazoa; Chordata; Amphibia; Anura; Bufonidae
Exons: 3
Source: RefSeq, a predicted model, not a curated record
AAAAAGCACAGACACACGGUCAAUGGCGCCAGCACAACCAGCGCCUUGUGCCAUGCAGCAGGGGGCGGUAUAACGGUCCUCUUCCAUGCCGAGUCUCUCUUUACUAUAAUAGGAUGCAUUUAUCAAGAACGAAGGAACCGGGUAUCAACAUGGCACUGCUUUAAUUGGAAGGGGGGGGGGGGUUGGGUAUGUACCAGUUGCUGAGUGCCAGGGGCGCCAACAAGCACCUCUCCUUUGCCUAGGGUGUUUAGAUACAGGACCAGGCCAGCAAAUGGAAUCUUGCCCCAAGUGAUGAGAAGCCGAGCUGAUGGUUUAAUGAUGGCAUACAAGCAGCGCCCGGACUUAGUCUACAGAGAAAUCAUAUAGGGGACGAGUAUCUGCAAUACAAAAUGUAUGCAAACUGCAGAGCGCACCCCGCCUGUACCACGGCCACCGCAAAUAUGUGCGCCCCCAUAAAACCUUCCAACCAAAUGAGAGUCUUACAUGUUACCGGAAGAAGAGACAAACCCCAAGGGAAGAGCAAGAAGCAUUAACAUCAUACAUAAUGGGGCACGUGGCGGAGCAGAGAGAGAGAGUACAGCCGGU